UACGGAGGGAGCUAGCGUUGUUCGGAAUUACUGGGCGCAAAGCGCACGUAGGCGGCUUUGUAAGUUAGAGGUGAUAGCCUGGAGCUCAACUCCAGAAUUGCCUUUAAGACUGCAUCGCUUGAAUCCAGGAGAGGUGAGUGGAAUUCCGAGUGUAGAGGUGAAAUUCGUAGAUAUUCGGAAGAACACCAGUGGCGAAG
This 197-nucleotide ribosomal RNA is filed under the name uncultured Sphingomonadales bacterium. RNAcentral's name for it is "partial 16S ribosomal RNA". It matches the Rfam family "Bacterial small subunit ribosomal RNA", at positions 524 to 720 of the family's 1533-position model. The record is from RNAcentral. Lineage: Bacteria; Pseudomonadati; Pseudomonadota; Alphaproteobacteria; Sphingomonadales.